Molecule: transfer RNA, 73 nt
Filed under: Lupinus subinflatus
Lineage: Eukaryota; Viridiplantae; Streptophyta; Magnoliopsida; Fabales; Fabaceae
Description: partial tRNA-Leu
Rfam family: tRNA
About the family: Transfer RNA (tRNA) molecules are approximately 80 nucleotides in length. Their secondary structure includes four short double-helical elements and three loops (D, anti-codon, and T loops). Further hydrogen bonds mediate the characteristic L-shaped molecular structure. tRNAs have two regions of fundamental functional importance: the anti-codon, which is responsible for specific mRNA codon recognition, and the 3' end, to which the tRNAs corresponding amino acid is attached (by aminoacyl-tRNA synthetases). tRNAs cope with the degeneracy of the genetic code in two manners: having more than one tRNA (with a specific anti-codon) for a particular amino acid; and 'wobble' base-pairing, i.e. permitting non-standard base-pairing at the 3rd anti-codon position.
Source: RNAcentral
CGAAAUCGGUAGACGCUACGGACUUAAAAUCCGUCGACUUAUAAAUCGUGAGGGUUCAAGUCCCUCUAUCCCG